Molecule: ribosomal RNA, 253 nt
Filed under: uncultured bacterium
Lineage: Bacteria
Description: partial 16S ribosomal RNA
Rfam family: Bacterial small subunit ribosomal RNA
Source: RNAcentral
UACAGAGGGGGCAAGCGUUGUUCGGAAUUACUGGGCGUAAAGGGCGCGUAGGCGGCCUUCUAAGUCGAACGUGAAAUCCCCGGGCUCAACCCGGGAACUGCGUCCGAUACUGGAAGGCUUGAAUCCGGGAGAGGGAUGUGGAAUUCCAGGUGUAGCGGUGAAAUGCGUAGAUAUCUGGAGGAACACCGGUGGCGAAGGCGACAUCCUGGACCGGUAUUGACGCUGAGGCGCGAAAGCGUGGGGAGCGAACGGG